RNAcentral lists this long non-coding RNA (920 nucleotides) under Nicotiana tabacum (common tobacco). RNAcentral describes it as "long non-coding RNA (NTAB_LNC001135)". The record is from RNAcentral. Lineage: Eukaryota; Viridiplantae; Streptophyta; Magnoliopsida; Solanales; Solanaceae.
AGAAAGAUUGAGAAAAUAUCAGAAAAUCAAAAAAAAAGGGCUCGAGGGUUCCAAUUUUGACUUUCAGAUUCUUCUCCUUUGAUUUUUUUUUUGUUUUCAUAGAUAUAUAUAAAAAAAUAUUUCUGUUGAUGCUUCCGAUUUAAAUCUCUGUUAUAACAUACAAAUGGAGUGAAGUUUGAGUUUGAGUUCUUGUUCGGAUUCAAAAUUGUGCGGCCGAUUCGAGUUUCUGUUCGAGGUUCGUGGUUUGGCUCGCGGUUUCUGCUCGAUUGCGUUGCUGUUCUCAGUCGAUAUUUUGGAGCAAUACGUUGUAUCUGCUGAUUCCUCUACUGUUAUUAAAAAGGAUUUCGACUAAACAGGUUCAUCCAUUCUCUUUUCUUCUUACAUCUAAGAGCAUGAAUCAAAUAUUAGUGAUGGGUGAAGUUUGUUGGUUCAUCUCGAUUUAAUUUGUGUUGUUAGUAUUGUCGUUCCCUCUUGAGUUUCUUGCUGCAGGUCAUCAUGAGAACUCUUAUUGAUUGUUUAGAGUAUUUGUCUCUGCUUGUGUUUGGUCUAGCGUUGAAUCUGAUGGUAAUUUAGGGAUAUAAGAAUGAUCUAAUUUACUCGAUUUCUAGCUGUGUUUCUUUGAAAUGUUAGGAAUUCAAUCAUCUUUGUCCAUUAUUUUGUGUUUUGGUGUUAAAUGAGUUGGAUUAGAUUGGAUCGCUGAGUUAUUGGAACUAAGAAUCUGUUGGAUGUGCUGUUAAGGUUACCUCAUGCUGCUUCUUUUAUGGUGUUUUGUGUUCUCGUCGUCUGAUAUGUCGGUGUAGUAUUUUUGUGAGUUAGCGUUUAAUUCGUCUUCGCCUUCUUCUUUGAAUUUGUUUCAGCUAUCGAAUUGCAAGUUUUCUGUUUGUUUUGAAGGAUUUUCAGCUAUUUUAGAUAUAUUUACG